AUUGAACGCUGGCGGCAUGCCUUACACAUGCAAGUCGAACGGCAGCACGGACUUCGGUCUGGUGGCGAGUGGCGAACGGGUGAGUAAUACAUCGGAACGCGCCCAGUCGUGGGGGAUAACGUAGCGAAAGCUACGCUAAUACCGCAUACGAUCUAAGGAUGAAAGCGGGGGACCGUAAGGCCUCGCGCGAUUGGAGCGGCCGAUGGCAGAUUAGGUAGUUGGUGGGGUAAAGGCUCACCAAGCCGACGGUCUGUAGCUGGUCUGAGAGGACGACCAGCCACACUGGGACUGAGACACGGCCCAGACUCCUACGGGAGGCAGCAGUGGGGAAUUUUGGACAAUGGGCGCAAGCCUGAUCCAGCCAUUCCGCGUGCAGGAUGAAGGCCCUCGGGUUGUAAACUGCUUUUGUACGGAACGAAAAGGCUCUGGUUAAUACCUGGGGCUCAUGACGGUACCGUAAGAAUAAGCACCGGCUAACUACGUGCCAGCAGCCGCGGUAA
This 500-nucleotide ribosomal RNA is filed under the name uncultured bacterium. Its description in RNAcentral is "partial 16S ribosomal RNA". It matches the Rfam family "Bacterial small subunit ribosomal RNA", at positions 29 to 523 of the family's 1533-position model. The record is from RNAcentral.